CCUACGUGAGGCUGCAGUGGGGAAUAUUGGACAAUGGGCGAAAGCCUGAUCCAGCCAUGCCGCGUGUGUGAAGAAGGCCUUCGGGUUGUAAAGCACUUUCAGUGGGGAAGAAAGCCUUGGGGCUAAUACCCUCGAGGAAGGACAUCACCCACAGAAGAAGCACUGGCUAACUCCGUGCCAGCAGCCGCGGUAAUACGGAGGGUGCGAGCGUUAAUCGGAAUUACUGGGCGUAAAGCGCGCGUAGGCGGUCUGAUAAGCCGGUUGUGAAAGCCCCGGGCUCAACCUGGGAACGGCAUCCGGAACUGUCAGGCUAGAGUGCAGGAGAGGAAGGUAGAAUUCCCGGUGUAGCGGUGAAAUGCGUAGAGAUCGGGAGGAAUACCAGUGGCGAAGGCGGCCUUCUGGACUGACACUGACGCUGAGGUGCGAAAGCGUGGGUAGCAAACAGGAUUAGAUACCCGAGUAGUC
Molecule: ribosomal RNA, 465 nt
Filed under: Vreelandella stevensii
Lineage: Bacteria; Pseudomonadati; Pseudomonadota; Gammaproteobacteria; Oceanospirillales; Halomonadaceae
Description: partial 16S ribosomal RNA
Rfam family: Bacterial small subunit ribosomal RNA
Source: RNAcentral